Molecule: long non-coding RNA, 637 nt
Organism: Vespula vulgaris
Lineage: Eukaryota; Metazoa; Arthropoda; Insecta; Hymenoptera; Vespidae
Exons: 3
Source: RefSeq, a predicted model, not a curated record
ACUCUCCCACCCGUGACGACAACAAACUCGGACCUUUAGCCGACUGUGGCAGUUACUAGUUCAGUUUCGCUGUGUCUUCCGACGAAUGAACUUAGAAAUUUUCUUACCUUCUGAGAACUUUGACAAUCUAUCUCCACGAUCAUGGACUUAGAAAUUUUCGUAGGAUGCCAAUGGAGCGAGUAUUAACGAAGACUUAAAAACCUCGUUGCAAUCGUGCGCGUUGCAAUGAUGUAAUCGAGUGUUAGUAUCGCUAAAAUAAAUUUAUCGCGAAGUAGAAGCAGUGUUUGUUCGUUCGCGUUUCGCGAUUUAAAUCAUAAGUGUUUUUACAAAGACUGCGUGCAAUGCAGUCGUUAGAAUCAGUGUUUGUUCGUAAAGUUAUUUGCUCUUUUAUCAGUCGCACAGACUGAGUUUAUAAAAUAUAGUAGAGUUCCGCGAAUUAAAUUCAGUGAUCGUUCGUUAAUAAACAACUACCGCGAAUUAGAGUCAGUGCAUCACUGAAGAGGAUCUCGACCAACUUCGAUGUCGACCUACCUCAUUUUCAACCAACUACAAAUCAUCCACCCUCAAUUUCGACCUAAAUCGCGGUCCAGUGUUUUGGAGCCAUCGCAGAACUUCUUAAGUAGUUAGAUCAUCGAGG